This is a small nucleolar RNA of Microcebus murinus (gray mouse lemur), 111 nucleotides long. NCBI's taxonomy places the organism in Eukaryota, Metazoa, Chordata, Mammalia, Primates, Cheirogaleidae. The record is from Ensembl.
GUAGCACCUAAACCCAAGAAUCGCUGUUUCUUAUAGCAGUGGUUUAAACAGAGGUGCCAACAGCACUUUUGGGGGCGGUUGUCAUGCCCCUCCAAGUGAAUUUGGAGGUCA